AAGGUGGACGAGGAAGAUGUUGUCUCUCACAUCCUCGCUGGACUUGAUGAGGAGUUCGACCCCGUGGUAUCUGCCAUAUGUUCAAGGGUCGAGCAUGUCGGGGUUCCGGAGCUGUACUCGCAGCUCCUAAGCUUCGAGA
Molecule: small nucleolar RNA, 139 nt
Filed under: Triticum aestivum (bread wheat)
Lineage: Eukaryota; Viridiplantae; Streptophyta; Magnoliopsida; Poales; Poaceae
Description: Small nucleolar RNA Z247
Rfam family: Small nucleolar RNA Z247
About the family: Z247 is a member of the C/D class of snoRNA which contain the C (UGAUGA) and D (CUGA) box motifs. Most of the members of the box C/D family function in directing site-specific 2'-O-methylation of substrate RNAs.
Source: Rfam by way of RNAcentral